This 253-nucleotide ribosomal RNA is filed under the name uncultured bacterium. RNAcentral describes it as "partial 16S ribosomal RNA". It matches the Rfam family "Bacterial small subunit ribosomal RNA", at positions 524 to 776 of the family's 1533-position model. The record is from RNAcentral.
UACAGAGGUGGCAAGCGUUGUUCGGAAUUACUGGGCGUAAAGGGCGCGUAGGCGGUCAGGGCAGUCCCGUGUGAAAUCCCUCGGCUCAACUGAGGAACUGCACGGGAAACUGCCUGGCUUGAGUUCGGGAGAGGGAAGCGGAAUUCCGGGUGUAGCGGUGAAAUGCGUAGAUAUGCGGAGGAACACCGAUGGCGAAGGCAGUCCCCUGGGCCUGUACUGACGCUCAUGCACGAAAGCGUGGGGAGCAAACAGG